RNAcentral lists this ribosomal RNA (402 nucleotides) under uncultured bacterium. Its description in RNAcentral is "bacterial SSU rRNA". It matches the Rfam family "Bacterial small subunit ribosomal RNA", at positions 355 to 774 of the family's 1533-position model. The record is from RNAcentral.
UGGGGAAUAUUGGACAAUGGGGGCAACCCUGAUCCAGCCAUGCCGCGUGAGUGAUGAAGGCCCUAGGGUUGUAAAGCUCUUUCACCGGUGAAGAUAAUGACGGUAACCGGAGAAGAAGCCCCGGCUAACUUCGUGCCAGCAGCCGCGGUAAUACGAAGGGGGCUAGCGUUGUUCGGAUUUACUGGGCGUAAAGCGCACGUAGGCGGACAUUUAAGUCAGAGGUGAAAUCCCAGGGCUCAACCCUGGAACUGCCUUUGAUACUGGGUGUCUUGAGUAUGGAAGAGGUGAGUGGAAUUCCGAGUGUAGAGGUGAAAUUCGUAGAUAUUCGGAGGAACACCAGUGGCGAAGGCGGCUCACUGGUCCAUUACUGACGCUGAGGUGCGAAAGCGUGGGGAGCAAACA